Molecule: non-coding RNA, 29 nt
Filed under: Homo sapiens (human)
Lineage: Eukaryota; Metazoa; Chordata; Mammalia; Primates; Hominidae
Source: RNAcentral
UGAUGGUGACCUGGAAGGCAGAUGGUACC